Molecule: ribosomal RNA, 492 nt
Filed under: uncultured bacterium
Lineage: Bacteria
Description: partial 16S ribosomal RNA
Rfam family: Bacterial small subunit ribosomal RNA
Source: RNAcentral
AGUGAACGCUGGCGGUAGGCCUAACACAUGCAAGUCGAACGGCAGCACAGUAAGAGCUUGCUCUUACGGGUGGCGAGUGGCGGACGGGUGAGGAAUACAUCGGAAUCUACUUUUUCGUGGGGGAUAACGUAGGGAAACUUACGCUAAUACCGCAUACGACCUACGGGUGAAAGCAGGGGAUCUUCGGACCUUGCGCGAUUGAAUGAGCCGAUGUCGGAUUAGCUAGUUGGCGGGGUAAAGGCCCACCAAGGCGACAAUCCGUAGCUGGUCUGAGAGGAUGAUCAGCCACACUGGAACUGAGACACGGUCCAGACUCCUACGGGAGGCAGCAGUGGGGAAUAUUGGACAAUGGGCGCAAGCCUGAUCCAGCCAUGCCGCGUGGGUGAAGAAGGCCUUCGGGUUGUAAAGCCCUUUUGUUGGGAAAGAAAAGCAGCAGGUUAAUACCCCGCUGUUCUGACGGUACCCAAAGAAUAAGCACCGGCUAACUUCGUG